This 33584-nucleotide long non-coding RNA is filed under the name Triticum aestivum (bread wheat). Its description in RNAcentral is "long non-coding RNA (TAES_LNC011648)". The stretch from base 2315 to 2449 matches the Rfam family "MIR1120/MIR1122 microRNA precursor family". The record is from RNAcentral. Lineage: Eukaryota; Viridiplantae; Streptophyta; Magnoliopsida; Poales; Poaceae.
UUUGUUCACGUGCGAGUUUUUUUCAUUUUCAUUUUUCGAAUUUUGGAAUCACGGCAUUUCAACAAUGGAAUUCUUUCGCUGGUCAAACAAGACCUAUAACUUAAUCUAAAAUAAAUUAUUACAUUGAAAUCAUUGAGUGUGACACGCAUUUAAAUGUUCCAGUAAAACAAUACAAAAGUUCAUACUUUUAUUUUGAUUUAUUAGGAUACGUGCGUUGCACGUGCGCGUUUACUAGUAGGUUAGAAGGUUAACAGGACAGCACUAGUUGGCGGGGUGGUUAGAACAGCCAACAGUUGAGGGGGGGUCGCAGGUUUGAAUUGUUAACCACGCUGUCAUUUUGUCCUUUUUAGCAGAAAAGGGAGUAGAGCUAACUGGGCCGAGCCCAACCAGCCACGCCUGCAGGCGCCCGUUUGCGAACGGGCGCUUAAGCGCCAAAUAGGAAAUACCCCAUUGCUGCUCUUUGCGUCAAACUGCCGGCGCUUCGCACACGCGAGCGACCGAGCAGCGACACGUUGGGCCGGCCCAGUUAGGUAGACCUGCACGUACAACCACAUUAAACAGCCAGCCGGUUUUGGAACCGGUUUGUGGGUUCUUUUCCGGUUUUCUGUUUCUUUUUAUUUCUGUUUCAGUUUCAUUUCUUUUUUCGUUCUGUUUUUUUUCUUCUUUUUCGUUUUUUUUUCAAGGUUACUUUAUAUUUUAAAAAAUCAUGUUUGGAAAUUGUUCUUAACUUUGAAAAAUGUGAACAAUUUUUGAAUUUACGAACAUUUUUUGGAAGACAACCAUUUGUGGAAAUUUUGAACGCUUUUCAAAAGAAAGAACAAUUUUCAAAAAUUGUUCGUAUAUUCAAAAAAUAUUCACAUUUUCAAAAAUUGUUUGGGAAUUUCAGAAAAUGUUAUUUCUUCGUAUUUUGUUCACACAUUCAAAAAUAGUUCGUGCUUACAAAUUUUGUUCUAAAAAUUCAAAAUAUAUAUGUCAUUUUCAAAAAGUGUUCCUGUUUUCAAAUUUUCUUUUCAAAAAUUGUUCAUGUUUUGAAAAUUUAUUCGCAAAUUCAAAAAAUAUAUUUUAUUUUUGUCCACAAAUUCAAAAUUGUUCAUGUUUUCAAUUUUUUUUGCAAAUUCAAGAAAAUUGAUUAAGAUUUUCUGAAUUGUUCUCCAUUUUUUAAUUUGUUCUAAAAAUCAAAAUAUGUUCAUGAUUUGAAAAUUUUGUUCACAAAUUCGGAAAGUGUUCAUGUUUACAUAAAAGUUCGAAAAUUCAUGUUUUUUAAUUUUGUUCAAAACCCAAUAUUUUAUUUCAAAAAAAGUUCCAAUUUCCAAAAAAAUAUCACAGAUUCAAAAAAUGUUCAUGUGAUUAAAUUUAGUUCACAAAUUGGAAUAUGUUCGGGAAUUUAAAAAAAUAUUCCUGUCCACAAAUUAAAAAAUAUUUUCCUUUCCAAAAUUUGUUGACAUAUUUACAAAAUAUUUCAUGUUUCUAAAUUUGAUUAACAAAUUGAAAAAAAUGUUCUUAGUUAUAUUUUUUGUUCGGAAUUUCAUGAAUUGUUCCAUUUUUCCAGAUGUAUGUUCAAAAAUUCAAAAAAGGUUUGCGGUUUCAAUUUUUUUUCUUCAGAAUUUCAUAGUUUGUUAUGUAUUUGAAAAAAUAUUCCUGUUGUUGAAAAUGUGUUCAGAAAAUGCUUGCACAUUUUCAACAUAUACACUUUCAAGAAGUACACUUUUUUCAAAUCACCUUCACAAUUUUUGUUCUUGUUUUCCGAAAUGUUCACCAAAUUUUCGAAAUCUGUUUGAUAAUCGAAAUUUUGUUGACAUUUCCUCAAAAUUUCUUUUUGUGUUUUCCAAAAUAUGUUCAAUUUUUAAAAAAUCUAUAUGCUACACUACGCGUACAGAAAAUAACAUUCAAGGGGGAAUAACUGUUUUCAGAAAAUGUGAGUUUCCUAAAAAGAAUUCACGGAUUUGAAAAGUAGUUGAGUUUAUAAAACUAUUCCCGUUCUAAAAAAGUGUUUGAGUUCGAAAUUUAAAAUAUUUCGGAUUUGCCGGUAGCUGUUUGUUCUUAUAAGUUGGCGCUGGUAUAUCAACCAGAAACCACUUCAGCUCACUUGGCUAGCAACACUAGCAUAUGUGUAGGAGAUCCUGUGUUCGAAUGCAGCACUUUUUGCCUAUUUUAGUAGGCUACCAGUAGUCUGCUCGCGACACCACCAAUGGGCCAGCCCAGUCGCGUGUGCCCUUAUGCGUCGCGGAAGUGUUUGACACAAAACGCGUCGAAAUAAAAAAUAUGAAAUAAAAACAGGUUUACAACUGUAAACAAAAGUUCAUCCAUUUGAAAAAAAGUACUCCCUCCGUCCCAAAAUUCUUGUCUUAUAUUUAUCUAGAUACGGAUGUAUCUAACACUAAAAUGUGAAUAGAUACAUCCGUAUGUAGACAAAUCUAAGACAAGAAUUUUGGGACGGAGGGAGUACAUCUCUUUAAAGAAGGUUCAUAGAUUUUUGAAAAAAGUAUAUCAAUUUUGAAAAAAAUUUAAUCUGAUUUCAAAAAAAGUUCAUUGAUUCUGAAAAAUGUUCGUCUAUUUUGAAAAAAGUUCAUCGAAAUCAAUAAUAGUUCAUCGCAAAUAAAAAAAGAGUUCAUCCAUUUUGAAAAAAGUUCAUCAAAAUCAAAAAAGUUCAUCGAAAAUGAAAUAAAAAGUUCAUCGAAAUUCAUAAAAAGUUCAUCAAUGAAAAAAAGUUCACGUAUUUGCGGUCAAGGAAAAAGAGGAAAACGAAAAAAACAGAAACCAAAAAAGGAAAAAAAGGAAAAAGGAAAAAGGAAAAAGAAAAAACGACAAAUAUCAAUUAAAAGAAGAAUAGGUUAGAAGGUUAACAGGACAGCACUAGUUGGCGGGGUGGUUAGAACAGCCAACAAUCGAGGGGUGGUCGCAGGUUCGAAUUGUUAACCACGCUGUCAUUUUGUCCUUUUUAGCAGAAAAGGGAGUAGAGCUAACAGGGCCGAGCCCAACCAGCCACGCCUGCAGGCGCCCGUUUGCGAACGGGCGCUUAAGCGCCAAAUAGGAAAUGCCCCAUUGCCGCUCUUUGCGUCAAACUGCCGGCUCUUCGCACACGCGAGCCACCGAGCAGCAACACGAUGGGCCGGCCCAGUUAGGUAGACCUGCACGUACAACCACAUUAACCAGCCAGCCGGUUUCGGGAACCUUCUAGAAGGUUCCCUGAACCGGUUUGUGGGUUCUUUUCCGGUUUUCGGUUUCUUUUUAUUUCUGUUUCAGAUUCAUUUCUUUUUUUCGUUCUGUUUUUUUUUCUUUUUUCGUUUUUCUUUUUCAAGGUUAAUUUAUAUUUUAAAAAAAAUCAUGUUUGGAAAUUGUUCUUAACUUUGAAAAAUGUGAAGAAUUUCUGAAUUUACGAACAUUUUUUGGAAGACAACCAAUUGUGGAAAUUUUGAACGUUUUUCAAAAUAAAGAACAAUUUGCAAAAAUUGUUCGUAUAUUCAAAAAAUAUUCAUAUUUUCAAAACAUGUUUGGGAAUUUCAGAAAAGGUUAUUUUUUCGUAUUUUGAUCACACAUUCAAAAAUUGUUCAUGUUUCCAAAUUUUGUUCUAAAAAAUCAAAAUAUAUAUGUCAUUUUCAAAAAGUGUUCUUGUUUUGAAAUUUUCUUUUCAAAAAUUGUUCAUGUUUUGAAUUUGUUUUCGCAAAUUCAAAAAAAUUUAUUUUAUUUUUGUUCACAAAUUCAAAAUUGUUCAUGUUUUCAAUUUUUUUUGCAAAUUCAAGAAAAUUGAUUAAGAUUUUCUGAAUUGUUCUCCAUUUUUAAAUUUGUUCUAAAAAUCAAAAUAUGUUCAUGAUUUGAAAAUUUUGUUCACAAAUUCGCAAAGUGUUCAUGUUUACAUAAAAGUUCGAAAAUUCAUGUUUUUUAAUUUUGUUCAAAACCCAAUAUUUUAUUUCAAAAAAGUUCCAAUUUCCAAAAAAAAUUCACAGAUUCAAAAAAUGUUCAUGUGAUUAAAUUUUUUUCACAAAUUGUUAUAUGUUUGGGAAUUUCAAAAAAUAUUACUGUCCACAAAUUAAAAAGUAUUUUCCUUUCCAAAAUUUGUUGACAUAUUAACAAAAUAUUUCAUGUUUCUAAAUUUGAUUUACAAAUUGAAAAAAUGUUCUUAGUUAUAUUUUUUAUUCGGAAUUUCAUGAAUUGUUCCAUUUUUCCAGAUAUUUGUUCAAAAAUUCAAAAAAGGUUUGCGGUUUCAAUUUUUUUCUUCAGAAUUUCAUAGUUUGUUAUGUAUUUGAAAAAAUAUUCCUGUUGUUGAAAAUGUGUUCAGAAAAUGCUUGCACAUUUUCAACAUAGACACUUUCAAGAAGUACACUUUUUUCAAAUCACCUUCACAAAAUUUGUUCUUGUUUUCCAAAAUGUUCACCAAAUUUUCGAAAUCUGUUUGAUAAUCAAAAUUUUGUUCACAUUUCCUCAAAAUUUCUUUUUGUGUUUUCCAAAAUACAUUCAAUUUUUAAAAAAUCUAUAUGCUACACUACACGUACAGAAAAUAACAUUCAAGGGGGAAUAACUGUUUUCAAAAAAUGUGAGUUUCCUAAAAAGAAUUCACGGAUUUGAAAAGUAGUUGAGUUUAUAAAACUAUUCCCGUUCUAAAAAAGUGUUUGAGUUCGAAAUUUAAAAUAUUUCGGAUUUGGUAGUUGUUUGUUCUUAUAAGUUGGCGCUGGUAUAUCAACCAGAAACCACGCCAGCUCACUUGGCUAGCAACACUAGCAUAUGUGUAGGAGAUCCUGUGUUCGAAUCCAGCACUUUUGCCUAUUUUAGUAGGCUACCAGUAGUCUGCUCGCGACACCACCAAUGGGCCAGCCGAGUCGCGCGUGCCCUUAUGCGUCGCGGAACUGUUUGACGCAAAACACGUCGAAUAGGAGGUCCCCCAUAGGAGCUCCCGGGAAAAUCCUACUCACCGCUCGUUGCAGGCUUGCAGCAAGGUGCUACGUCAGGACCCUGACUCAAUGCCACAUCGAUCUAGCAUGUAACACCUCAUAUCACUUUGCGGCCUCACACACGGUAUUCCCACGGGUGUCGCCUUACCUUUGCCCGGGACCGUUUGCGCCUUUUGGCACACGUAUAUGAUAGUGUCGCUAGCAUCCAUAUGAUAAGGAGCCUGGGCUGACAUGGCUAGUCGUAAACCCAAAGUGGCACAGACUUACAGGGACAGGCAUCCAUGACCCAGCAUCGAACGUGUCGGUCAUCAGCGAGUGAAUCCAGGCUGUAGCACUGGGCUAGCAGGACUCCGGUGAACUGGGCUGUAGCGGGCUAACAGGACUCCGGUAUUCAUCGCGUGACAUUUUCCCGACGGGACAGACACAGGAACGAAGAAGGACACAUGCCGGCCAGCCUAAGUGUUUCGGAGCAGUAGCAAGCUACCAUGGCUCAGUGGAAGCACUAGGAGACAUUUCCCGGUAAGAAAGGCUACUAAGGAUAAACAACUAGAUAGUCAGAUCCCACACAUACCAAGCAUUUCAAACAUACACACAAUAUGCUCGAUAUGUGUAAAUACAACAUGGCAUCACAACAUAACUCUACGACUCAAGUAUUUAUUCAAUAGGCUCCGAGUAGCGCGAUAUUACAAGCAUGGGUCUCAUGACCCAACAUUCAGAGCAUACAGAUCAAGCACAUGCGGAAGCUUAUCAUGUCUGAGUACAGACAUCUACAAAUGAAAAAUGCUGAAAAGCCUGACUAUCUACCAGAUCCUGCCGAGGGCACAAGAUCGUAGCUGAGGUAACAAGCUAAACGUCGAAGUCCACGCGGAACUACUAACGAGACUGACGUCUCUCUGCAAAAACAUAAAAUAGGCAAAUGUGAGUACAAAUGUACCCAGCAAGACUUACAUCAGAUCUAGGUACAUAUGCAUCAUUAUCAACAAAGGGGAUGGUGGGGUUUAACUGCAGCAAGCCAGCUUUGACUCGGUGGCUAUCCUGAACUACGACUGCAAGUAACUCUUUUGAGGUGGCGCACACGAGUCCACAUAUUCACCAUAUCAAUACACCACCAUGGAUCCGCUCCCGUCUCCCUACGAGAACGCCAUCCAUAGCACUCACGCUUAUCUUGCGUAUUUUAGAGUAUCCACUUUCACUUGUCUAUGAACUGUUAUAGGCAACCCAGAAGUCCUUUACCGCGGACACGGCUAUUUGAAUAGAUGAUGUUAACCCUGCAGGGGUGUACUUCUUCAUACAUGUUUCCACCACUUAGCGUCUGCACACGACAUGUGCUCGGCAGACUUCAAGCGAAAGCCGACGUGGGUGUAGACCACGACCUACCUAAACACUCAAGUCUCUAGUCCAGGUUUAUCGCCUAUUCAGGUUCCAUCCGCAGGGAGUCCGGCCGAGGUUUCCACAUACGGCCCCGAACGAUGUGAACAGGGUUCCGAGACACCUAACGGGUGCCCGGUGUACCCGGCCACGUACCUACCACAUCACAGCCCACCCCACGGUCAGCGCUGUCCACGGCCUCCAGUAGGCUACAAACACCAGAAACUACUUGCAACUCCUGGACAGAGGACUAGAGUGAAUAAGAAGUCGAGCGGGGUCAUAUUUCAGGGCCCAAUGUAUGGUAGUAGCUGAAUCAUGGAUCACAAACACAGAACUCAGUUCCUAAGGACGGCUUCAAUGAGACAACCCACCAUGUACUCCUACAUGGCCUCUCACCGAUACCUUUACCAAAUCGUGUUCACACACUUAGCUCACACACAGUAGGACAUGUUCACACACCUCUGAUUCAUCCCCGAUGAAUUAGAACUGACUCAGCUCUAAGCAAUAGCAGGCAUGACAAACAAGCAUGAAUGAGUAGGCACAUCAGGGCUCAAGCAACUCCUACUCAUGCUAGUGGGUUUCAUCUAUUUACUGUGGCAAUGACAGGUCAUGCAGAGGAUAAAGGGGUUCAACUACCGCAGCAAGUAACAGAUGAAUCGUUGUUGUCCUAAUGCAGUAAAAGAGAGCAGGAGCGAGAGAGUGGGAUUGUAUCGAAAUGAACAAGGGGUUUUUGCUUGCCUGGCACUUCUGAAGAUAAUAUAGUUCUUCAUCGGUGUCAUCGAACUCGUCGUCGGAACCACGUCUAUCGAGAGGGGACAAACACCGGCAACUGAGAAAGAACACAAUCAAUGCAAUGCCACAAUAUGAUGCAUGAUCAUGACAUGGCAAUAUGCUGUGAUUUGAGCUAAUGCACCUAGCUAUGAUUUAAAUGAAGUUGGUUUGAAUACAUGAUUCAAAUUCCAACUCCAUAUAUGAUUAUUUAAAUGCCCUUUAUUUGUUUUGUCCAAAACAGAGGACAAACAUUGUUCAAACAUGCAUGAAAAUGGUACAGAUGGAUUCCUUGAAUUUUUUUGAUAAUUUUUCAUAUAUAAUUUAUUUGAUUUGGAGUCACGGUUGAAUUUCUAUGAAUUUUAGAAGUUUAGAUCAUUUUCUGAAAGUUAUAAAUCAUUUCUGAUUUAUUUUAAUACCAGAAAAUGUUUACUGCGUCAGCAUUAGGUCAUCCUGACCUCAGCAGGUCAACAGCGCCGGGUCCAGGUCAAACCUGACGUGUGGGGUCCACACAUCAGUGACUAACUAAUCUAAUCUAAAUUAAUUAGUGUUAAACUACUACUAACUAAAAAUGUCAGUGGAGUAAUUAAACUUAAUUAAAAACUAAUCUAGGAUUAGCUGGGGCCUGGGCCCACUCGUCAGUGACUCAGGGGGAAGUCAAACUGGGGUCAAACCGGGUCAAACUCGCCGGAGUUGACCCGGGGCUCGUCGCCGGCAGGGCCAGGGACGGCGGAGAGGUGCGGGUUUCCUCCUCCGGCGACCAAAUCGACGAUGGAGGGAGGCUACAUGGAGCUGGAGCUCGCGUGCGUCGGGUGGUGGCGGUGGGAGAUGCUGGGGUGGCCGGAAACGUUGCCGGCGACGACCUUGGCGGUCGCCGGAGUUCGGGCGAGGUCGAAGCCGUCGCUAUGAGGCACGGCGAGGCGCGUGGGGAGGUGCUACGGGCUUCUGCGAGUACGGUGAAGACGAUGGCAUGCUCGGAAUCAAGCCAACAUGGCUGUGGCCACGACGGUGACGUGCGGUGGCGGCGGCGGGUGCGGCCGAGCUCGGUGUGGUCGUUGUGGUGCACAAGAAGGCAAACGGAGAGGGGGAGAAGGGGCAGGAGCUCACAGUGGAUCCGUAGGGAUGGUUAGCGGGCUCGGGGAUGCUCGGGAGACGGCGAAUCGACGACGACGAUCUUCGGUGGCCGACGAGGGAAACGGCGGCAUUGGCGGUGUUGCGGCGCGUCCGGGGCCUCGUGGCUCGCCGAGGGGGUCGAGGACGUCGAGACGGAGCUUCUGGGCGCGUCGGUGAGGCGUGCGGUGGCCGGUGGCCGUGGCAGCAGCGAGCGGCGGCGAUGAGCGCGCUCGGGCGCGAGAGGGUGAGAGAGCAGAGAGGGGAGAGGCAUGGGAGAGAGUGAGAGGGGACCGAGGGUGAUGCGUGGCGUCACCAGGGACGGCCAGGGUGUCGAGGGGGGAGGGGCGGCAAGCAGGAGGUGGCCGGGGCGUGUGGGCGCGCGCGUCGGCCACACGCGCGUCCUCCUGGCAGAGGAGGAAGAUGACAGGGAAGGAGGCGGUGGUGGGCUGGGCCAGUUGGCUGGGCUGCCAGCUGGGCCGGCCAGGUGGGCUGCAUAGAAGGUAGGUCCAGGUAAGUCUCUCUCUCUCUCUCUUUCUCUCUCUCUCUCUCUUUUAUUUAUUGUUUUUGUUUUUUCUAUUAUUCUGUAGUCUUCAGGGCUUUAUUUAAAAUACUUAAACAGAUCCAAAAAUCAUGAAACUAAUCAUGGCUACUGUUUAGAAUAUAUCCAACAGUAAACAUUUUAGUUUAUGAUUAUUUGAGCAUUUAAAAUAUUAAUGCCCAAAUGAAAAUACCAUAUGAUUUAAUUCAGAGCCCAAAUAUGUCAUGGAAAAAUGUGCAACACCUCUGGUUACUGUUUCCAGCAUUUCCAGAAAUGAUGAACAUUUUUGAAAGCCAUUUGGAUUCACUGAAAUUAUUUUAGUUGAACAUAGUGAAUUCCUUUGAUGUUAGGGUUUAGGCAAUCCCUGUUUCAAGUUUCAAACGAAUUUAAACAUGAUGCAACACAUGACUAGCUAGCUCAGUGCAUACCAGAACUAGGGAUGUGACAGCUCACCCCCACUAAACAAGAAUCUCGUCCCGAGAUUCAAGUCGUGAGGUAAGAAGACAGAGGGGGCACAAGCUAACACGGUCUUCACGGUCCAGGUUGCACUUCAUAAGAACGUUGACACGAUCACCAUCUUUGUCUUGAUGUCUUGCUCUGAGAACUCCAACUAACAUGACAAUGAGAGGAAAAGGGAAAACUCCAGAAGGAUCGAUCUUCUCGAAGAUCGAACAACUCAGGAUCACUCAUCAAGUGAGACAUUGAAACAUCUCUCGAGCUGAGACACGAAACACAUCGAGAGGGAUGGAAGAACAAGCGACGGGGUUUGAUUUGGUGGGCAACAAUUCCACGCUUAGAAAGAUGGUGGACGGUGUCAAGGUGGCGAGGAAAUAAUUGCCAUGAUCCCGUAACGGGGCACUUUGGAAAAGGUGACUCGAAGAACUAUUCCCUUAAGUGGCAAAAAGAAUUACUUUUGAUUCAGAGAUCAUUGAAACUCUUUAUACCAGCCUAAGGCAAUUGAUAAAUGAUCGUUUGAAAGAUCUCGAAGAAAUGGCAUACUCGGACUAGGAUGGAUGAUGUGGACUACCUUGUUGAAGACAACGCAAUGGAUGACUUUUGCUUAUCACCGGAAAUGAAUGGGACCCAUGACAAGACCACUUUUGAAGAUGAUCCUGGACAGCAACUGCCGAGAAGGACAACCCAUGGAAAAUUGGCCCGAUGGGGUGCAAGCUGGAAACAACAUGCACAUGUUGGAAAUGUUCCAACCAUCAUAUCUGCCUGAGAUUCAGAUCUGGUUAGAAACAGGAUAUUUCAGACAACAUGUUUGGAAAAGAAAGUUUUCAACACAAACCGACGAGAUGGAGUUGCGGGAUUCUCGGGGAAUGAACUAAGAUAGCAAGCUCCAAAACAUGAGCUGGUUCUGCUACAUACAUGUGAACACAUUGUCCCAGACAAGCAUAACCACGUAGUAGUCUUAUAUAAAACACUACCCAGUUCAGGUGGGGCACCAUCAACGAAGAUAACGAAGUCUUGUGCAUGAACUAGUAUUCGCAUAACAACUCUUUUUCCUUGAACAAAUCAAUAAGUGGCUUGGGGUGCUAGUGUGACGCCCCCGAUUCAAUCGUACACUAAUCAUGCACACAAACGUGUACGAUCAAGAUCAGGGACUCACGGGAUGAUAUCACAACACAACUCUAAAAACAUAAAUAAGUCAUACAAGCAUCAUAAUACAAGCCAGGGGCCUCGAGGGCUCGAAUACAAGUGCUCGAUCAUAGAUGAGUCAGCGGAAGCAACAAUAUCUGAGUACAGACAUAAGUUAAACAAGUUUGCCUUAAGAAGGCUAGCACAAACUGGGAUACAGAUCGAAAGAGGCGCAUGCCUCCUGCCUGGGAUCCUCCUAAACUACUCCUGGUCGUCGUCAGCGGGCUGCACGUAGUAGUAGGCUCCUCCAGCGUAGUAGGAGUCGUCGUCGAUGGUGGCGUCUGGCUCCUGGGCUCCAACAUCUGGUUGCGACAACCAGGUAGAAGGGAAGGGGGGAAAGGGGGAGAAAAUCAACCGUGAGUACUCAUCCAAAGUACUCGCAAGCAAGGAGCUACACUACAUAUGCAUGGUUAUAUGUGUAAAGGGCCAUAUCAGUGGACUAAACUGCAGAAUGCCAGAAUAAGAGGGGGAUAACUAAUCCUAUCGAAGACUACGCUUCUGGCAGCCUCCGUCUUGCAACAUGUAGAAGAGAGUAGACUGAAGUCCUCCAAGUAGCAUCGCAUAGCAUAAUCCUACCCGGCGAUCCUCUCCUCGUUGCCCUGUUAGAGAGCGAUCACCGGGUUGUACCUGGCACUUGGAAGGGUGCGUUUUAUUAAGUAUCCGGUUCUAGUUGUCAUAAGGUCAAGGUACAACUCCAAGUCGUCCUGUCACCGAAGAUCACGACUAUUCGAAUAGAUUAACUUCCCUGCAGGGGUGCACCACAUAACCCAACACGCUCGAUCCCAUUUGGCCGGACACAAUUUCCUGGGUCAUGCCCGGCCUCGGAAGAUCAACACGUCGCAGCCCCACCUAGGCACAACAGAGAGGUCAGCACGCCGGUCUAAAUCCUACGCGCGCAGGGGUCUGGGCCCACCGCCCAUUGCACACCUGCAUGUUGCGUACGCGGCCGGAAGCAGAACUAGCCCCCUUAAUACAAGAGCAGGCUUACGUUCCAAUCCGGCGCGCGCCACUCAGUCGCUGACGUCACGAAGUGCUUCAGUUGAUACCACGACGUCGAGUGCCCAUAACUGUUCCCACGUAGUUGGUUAGUGCGUAUAGGCCAGUAGCCAGACUCAGAUCAAAUACCAAGAUCUCGUUAAGCGUGUUAAGUAUCCGCGAACGCCGAACAGGGCCAGGCCCACCUGUCUCCUAGGUGGUCCCAACCUGCCCUGUCGCUCCACCACAAAGUAACAGUCGGGGGCCGUCGGGAACCUAGGCCCACCUCUACCGGGAUGGAGACACCUGUCCUUUCAGCCCCCACAUCGGAAUCACUUGCGGGUACUCAACGGGCUGACCCGACUUUAGUCACCAUUUGUAUAGUAUGUAUGUAUGUAAUAUAUAUACCCGUGAUCACCUCCCGAGUGAUCACGGCCCAAUAGUAUAGCAAGGCAGACUGACAAGAAUGUAGGGCCAAUGAUGAUAAACUAGCAUCCUAUACUAAGCAUUUUGGACUGCGGGUAAGGUAUCAAUGAUUGUAGCAACAAUGACAGGCUAUGCAACAGAAUAGGAGUAAUUAAACAGUAACAUGCUACACUACUCUAAUGCAAGCAGUAUAGAGAAGAAUAGGCGAUAUCUGGUGAUCAAAGGGGGGGGGGCUUGCCUGGUUGCUCUGGCAAGUAGGGGUCGUCAACUCUGUAGUCGAACUGGGGUCACCGGCAGUCUCGGGGUCUACCAGAAAGAAGUAACGAAGGGGGAACACAGUAAAUAACAGAGCAAACAAAGCAUCACAAAGCGUAACAAGGCAAUACGCGGUAUUUGGUGUGCCCUAACGCGGUAGUAGGUGAUACCGGCGAAAGGGGGAAACAUCCGGGAAAGUAUUCCCGAUGUUUCGCGUUUUCGGACAGAUGAACCGGAGGGAGAAAGUUGCAUGUUUGCUAUGCUAGGAAUGCGUGGCAGACGAACGGGCUGCGUAUCCGGAUUCAUCUCGUCGUUCUGAGCAACUUUCAUGUACAAAGUUUUUCCCUCCGAGCUACGGUUUAUUUUAUAUUAAUUUUAAAAGAUUUAAUCAUUUUUAGAAUUCAUUUAAUUAUUUUAAAUCAACAUUAUCUAGAAUAGUGCAUGCUGACAUCAGCAUGACGUCAGCAAUCAACAGGUCAGUUGACUUAGUCAAACCGACGUGUGGGGUCCGCAUGUCAUAGGCUGAUUAACUAACUAAUAAAUUAUUAAGAUUAGUUAGCUAAUUAGAUUAUCUAACACUGGUUAAUUAAGUUAAUUAAUUAAUCCUUUUAAUCCUUUUUUAUUUUUGUUUUGGGGCUAGGCCCGUUCGGUCAGUGGCCUAGGGCCAUUGCGGGCGUGUGGGCGCCAGCAGUGCGGUUACGGGCGCACUCGUGCGGGGCCGAGCCCGACCGGGAAGGCGAGGCAAGGCCACCAGGGAGUGGCGGCGUUUGGCCGGCGUGGGCGACAGCCAGCGGGAGCGAUGACCAGCGGGGGUGGACCCGGCGGCGGCGAGGUGGGGGCUGCAGGAGCGGGGCGGCACCAAGCGCGGUCAGCGGCAGAGAGGCGGAGGGAGUCGGGACACGGACGACGUCAAGCGGCUCAGGUGCGCCGCGGCCGGAGCGGGCGUGUGGAUGCGGACCGCGGCGAGCAGCCAGCGUGGGGAGGCGAAGCACGGCAUGGUGCAUCGAGAAGCAGCCGGCAGUAGCAGUGAGCAGCGGCAGCCUUCAAGCAGACAAGGCGGGCGCGGGCGACUCAUGGGCGUGUGCGGCUGCGGGGAGCCACGGCCAGGGAGGGUGCACGGGGGGUGUAGGGGAGCGCCCAGGCGACGACGGCCAUGGGCGUGGGCAGAGGGCGACGGCGGCUUCGGUCACGGCGACGACGAUAGCUACUGAGCGGAACGAGGGUGCUCGAGCUCGAUCCGAGCUCGGGAAUAAUCGGGGAAGUGGCGUAGCUCACAUUGAGCCUGUAGAUGUGCUUAGUGGGCUCGGGGAAGGCUCGGAGGUGCCGGAAUCGACGACGAAGCUCUACGGGGACAAGGAGGAAGAAGGCGGUGCGGGGCUCGACGCGGUGGCUCCCGGCGGGGAGGUGGCGUCCGCGAGGUGGUGGCGGGACGAGGCGGCGACGUCGGGGGCUGGCGCGGCGGCGAUGGCGGGGUCGGGCCCCCGAGUGCCCCGAUCCAGACUCAGGAGGGGGAAGGAGAGAGACGUGGGGUCGUGGGGGAGAAGUGGGUGCGGUUAGGGUUUGGUGGUGGGCAGGGGAGGCCAUAUAGGCCUGCUUAGCUGGGCCGGCUAGCACAACGGUCUGCUGGGCCGUGGCCCAGUUGGGCCAAGGGGGGGAUUGCUUCUCUUUCUACUUUUCUUUGUUUUUUUUUCUCUUAGUUUGUUUUUCUGUUUUCAUUUUAGUUUCUGAUAUUUUUAGUUUCUUUAAAAUACUAAGUUAGCACCUAAACUAGUAACAUCAAAAUAGGACAGUGCCAAACCUAGUUUGGACCCAAAAUAAAUUAGUUUAAUAUUUCUAUAUUUUCAAAAGCAAUUAAAUUAUUAUGUUAGCCAUUGGUUUUAAUUAGUUUUAGGGCAUUUAAACACUUUGAAAAAGGUUGGUUCCACCACCAAAACUAGUUAGGGAUUAUUUGCCACAUGAUGAACAUUUUAGUUUUAAUAUUUGAAAACUUUUAUUGUUUGCUUGAUUCUGAAUUUGAAUUAGAAUCGGUUUUAAACUAACGCAAGUUUAUCAACAGUGAUCAUGGUGACGUGGCAUCAUUAGUAGAGAGUUACUGUAGCUUAAUUAUCCGGGCGUCACAAUUCUCCUCCACUACAAGAAAUCUCGUCCCGAGAUUUAGGAGCGGGAGUAAGGGGGAAGGGAUCUGGUUACGAAAUGCUAACGGGUCUCCUCAGUCUUGGUUGCUCUUCUCGAAGAGGUUGAUCCAUAGUGUUGAUGUCUUCAUUUCUCUGCAUCAAUCCAUCAUGAUGAAGUUGCCGUCCUUCCUUCAGGAUCUUCACCGGACUUACGAAAAGAUAAGAGGGGGAAAACUCUAUAAGGACGGGUUCUAACAUAAUUGAGCAUUGAACGGUUAACUCAGGGGAAGAAGCAUAUGUAUCUCCCGAAUUGAAACUUAAGAAGUUAUCGAGAGCAAAGUAAGAAGGUACCAUGAGAAGUUUCAAACGGAUAGGCAAUCGUUCGAUGUCUGCAACAACAUGUGAAAAGGGUCCAGAGCAACGAGAUUGAGUAUUGCGUCUGUUACCAGAAUCGAUCACUAGGAUGGUGGCCCGUGAAUUACAUACGAGGCCACGCGCGAGGAAUAACUUUAGGAACCGGGGGUGUACAGGAGAGUCAGGUUUCGAUCCUGUGGAACUGUGGGUUAUGGGCCCACCACAUGGGUUAAAAGUAGAAAGGGUGCUGACAUCUUGCACGGUCAUGAUAGUAAGGUAUGUUAGAGGGUAGCCUGCCAUUUAUGUUGGCAACAAUGUCGGUACCAAGGGCGAGGGACGAAGAGAACCAUUUUCCUGCUCGUUGAACGAGGCGGACCAAUAGGCAAAGUUCUCAUCCAUCGGUGGUUACCGGAAUGUCAUCAACAAUAGUAACCGGGUCUUACUGACAGAAUUGUACACUGAGGUGUUUACAUAAGCAAGAGAAUAUUACUGCUUAUCUAAUAUACAUCACAAGAAGGUUUAAACAAACCAAUGGAAAGGAAAAGUGUUUAUCAGGUUUAAACAGAACAAUGGAAGGGAAAAUGUGUAUACACACAUAUUUCGGGGGUAUAUCCUUCCCAAGGACAAGCGGAGCAUGAUAUCCAUGAUAGGAUAGAAACUAGAAAACCAUUUAGGUAAGGGGGGAGGAAUCUCAUGAUAUUACCCAUACAACGGUGUUAGGAUAAAUGAUAAAGGAAAUUUAGCAUUGUGCUUCAAAUGCUCUUAUUGAAAAUCUGAUUACCAUAGACAUGCUUCGAGAUAGCAUUGACAUGGUCUUCAAGCAAAGGUUAGACUUUGGAUAAAGGAAGGAUCCAUCAGGAACAACUUGUAGAACAAGUCUUACAAUUUCCUCAUGGAAGAAUGGAUAACCUUGCAGAAAAGGAAUCUAUAACAAUAGGGCCUCCGGCCAGGUGUGUUAGGUGACAUCACCUUACCGGGUCAUGUAAAGAUGUUUAUAACUCCUGGAAGUGUGUUCCAACCAUCAUAUCUGACCGAGAUUCAGAUCUGAUUGGUGUCAGGAUACCUCAGACUCAGGAUGUCUGAGAAGAAAAGGUGCAACACAAAUUGACGGGAGGACAUUGUAAGAUUCUCGGGAAUGAACUAUGGAAGCGAGUUCCGAAACAAGAGUUCAUCAGUAAACCAAGGAGAGGGGAGGGAGAUGGCUCGUGGACUCAACGCUAAUUAAUUGAGAUUUCCAAAAAAUGGAUUUCCACAAUUAUAUGAACAAAGAGAUAACAUUUGCCAGAUCAAAUGAUAUAAUGAUGUAUGCUCGAGGAAAGCAUACACAUUUAAACAUUGGUUGAAAGGUGCACCCGAAUAUGGACUGGGUUGCACGACCAACGUCGGAAUGGUGAUUCAAUAAUCAAUAGUCUAAGAAUGAACGGCCGACCAUUAACUUCAAAGCAAGAGGGUUGCUAGAAGGGCAGAAUCCAAACAGCACCACUCACUUGUUGGUACCCCGGUUGGAAUCAACACGAGGACCCAAGAAAGAAUGGUGAUGGUGAGAAGUAUCACAAUACCAAGAAUUCCUUAAGUGGUGGAGCAGUCCUCACAAUAUCCUUGAUAUUAAAAGAUGGUAAUACUCCAAGGUAAAGAAUAACAAAUGUUGGAUAGCAGGGAUCUCAACGUAUAACACAAAACGCAAACAAGUUUGUGUUGAACGGAAGGCAAUAAAGUGGUCGAUGAUAACACAAAUCAUUGAGGGCAAGGACGGUAUUCUCUUCAUGAAUCCGAUUGAUAUCCUGGAAGAGCUCAUAAGGUUGAUGAAGAUCAUGACACAUUUGUCGAGAGGUUUCAUGAAGAUGUAAUCAAUUAGCGACGAUGUCAAAUCAAAGGAAUGAUGAAGCGAAAGGUUAUUGGAACCAUGGGUAUGACACAAACUCGAAAUCAAGCUUGCUGUUCAAGGCAAAAUGAUAUGAUGAGGAAAAUCGACAUAAGCUUAGCUCAUCGUCGACAAUUUGUGCUUCAGGAAGAAGGACCAGGUAGCAUAGUUAAAUUUAGCACGAUAAUGAUAUAGCCGAUCAGGCUUGGGAUGAAGUGAUCGGGUAGAAACUUGUAAGCAAGGAAGAUUGCUAAGAAUGGUUGAAUCGUAGAAAGGACACUAUUCAGUUAUAGAUGUAUUUGAGUGACUAACCACUCAGAACCUAGGAAACAUUGGAAUCGGUGAGAAUGUAGUACUUGAUGAAGAACUCAUAAGAAGUUAUGGUGUUCCGUGAUAAGCUCGAGAUACCAGGGGGUAAUACUCGACGACGGAUCAAAGUAGAAGUUGGACUGGGGAAUUGCUAUGUAGAAGACAAGUGCUUAAACUUGCACAGGAAAUGGUAUUUAAAGGAGAACAUGGUCGGAACCAUGAUUGAAAAAGGCUAGAUCCCACAUAUAAGGUGAACUUAUACCAAGGGAAUAAUUAAUUUUAAAAGAAGCUUCGAUGAGAAGAUCUACAUCGUGUCCAUGGGUAUGAACACAAAGUUCAAGGUCGACUCCCACUUCUCCACUGCAUAACCUUUCAUUUACUUCUCGCGUUUGAUGAAGUUGUAGUGUUGAAAUUUUAUCUGGCAAAAAUACCAGCAGAGUAUGACUCGUGAAACUUUCGAGUUCACACCUAUUAAGGAAGGUAUAGGUUCAACCCAUCGGGGCAUCGUGGAAACGUAUACCACAAGCUUCAAGAAUAAAUAUCACCAGCUCGAAAGCAAAGCAAGGUUGGCAAAAUUCAACGAAUAGGAUUUACUAAUGGCAUUAUGUAUCAGGGAAGAAUUCACAAGGCGAUUAAAUAUGAAGGACAUUGCCGAAUAAUAAUCCAACAAAGGAUCUGACGGUCGAUAGCGAAGCUGAUGUGAGCAUCAAUACGCAACCAGUUGAAGAAAGAAUGCGAAGGCAUUGGAUUACAGAAGCAACUGGCUAAUUCAAGCUCACAUGUAAAAGAAUUAUGAUUUCCAAAUCAAAGGAUCAGAAGCAAAGUUCUGAUUAGGGAUGGAUAAGUUGAAUAGCCUUAGGGGUACAACCGACGGCAAUUGGAUUGGUUAAGAACCGGCUCAUGUUUAAAAUGACGUCUGAGCCAGAAAGAUAAUUUAAAAGGAUCAACCGAUGAUUGCGUGCAUUCGCACUCAUGUUGAAUCAAUAGGAUCAAAAUGACGGUGUCAAAGGAGACUAAUGAAUGUUGCCACACAUAUGGGAAGCAUCCAUAAUGCAAGCAGACAACUAUUUGCAGAGCAAUAGUUGACAAUGGAUUAUCAAAAGACUGGAUAGUAUUUCAAAGUAUCUUGUGGAUCACAUGAUCAACUAGGAAUGAACAAAUCCUCGAUGAGUGUGAGGAAUUAUCCAUAGAUGUAUUAAAGCGAAGAUGGAGCUGCAAGGCAGCAUGCAUAAUGAAUUCUCGGGAUAUUGGAAUGUUUCAGGGAAUCUUGUAAGAACAAUAGGUGUAUGUAUCUAUCCAUAGGGAUAUUUUGGUGGUAGUGAAUUGCCAAAGCAAUAGGCACAAAGUCUCGAGAGAAUAUCAGAGAGUAUCUUCGAAAUCUUCUGGUGCAGGCGGUGUUCAUCUGCAAUAAGGGGCUCUCCGGGAGAAAGUAGUUACGAGAACCUAGAGUCAGAUUUAGUAAAAUCAUUUAAACCAAAUAGAUGAGAGAUUAGAGUCCUAGAGUAUAGGUCGAGGAAUAAAAGAUCCUAAUACCGCCCAAUGGCGACGUGGGCCCGUAAGGCACACAACCAAGUUAGUAAAAGUUUUGAAGUGACUAGACUCGACUUUGGCCAAGGAGUGUGGAAGGGGGAUUCCUACAGGCAGUCGGCUCUGAUACCAACUUGUGAUGCCCCCGAUUCAAUCGUACACUAAUCAUGCACACAAACAUGUACGAUCAAGAUCAGGGAAUCACGGGAAGAUAUCACAACACAACUCUAAAAGCAUAAAUAAGUCAUACAAGCAUCAUAAUACAAGCCAGGGGCCUCGAGGGCUCGAAUACAAGUGCUCGAUCAUAGACGAGUCAGCGGAAGCAACAAUAUCUGAGUACAGACAUAAGUUAAACAAGUUUGCCUUAAGAAGGCUAGCACAAACUAGGAUACAGAUCGAAAGAGGCGCAUGCCUCCUGCCUGGGAUCCUCCUAAACUACUCCUGGUCGUCGUCAGCGGGCUACACGUAGUAGUAGGCUCCUCCGGCGUAGUAGGAGUCGUCGUUGAUGGUGGCGUCUGGCUCCUGGGCUCCAACAUCUGGUUGCGACAACCAGGUAGAAGGGAAGGGGGAAAGGGGGAGAAAAGCAACCGUGAGUACUCAUCCAAAGUACUCGCAAGCAAGGAGCUACACUACAUAUGCAUGGGUAUAUGUGUAAAGGGCCAUAUCAGUGGACUGAACUGCAGAAUGCCAGAAUAAGAGGGGGAUAACUAAUCCUAUCGAAGAUUACGCUUCUGGCAGCCUCCGUCUUGCAACAUGUAGAAGAGAGUAGACUGAAGUCCUCCAAGUAGCAUCGCAUAGCAUAAUCCUACCCAGCGAUCCUCUCCUCGUCGCCCUGUUAGAGAGCGAUCACCGGGUUGUAUCUGGCACUUGGAAGGGUGUGUUUUAUUAAGUAUCCGGUUCUAGUUGUCAUAAGGUCAAGGUACAACUCCAAGUCGUCCUGUUACCGAAGAUCAUGGCUAUUCGAAUAGAUUAACUUCCCUGCAGGGGUGCACCACAUAACCCAACACGCUCGAUCCCGUUUGGCCGGACACAAUUUCCUGGGUCAUGCCCGGCCUCGGAAGAUCAACACGUCGCAGCCCCACCUAGGCACAACAGAGAGGUCAGCACGCCGGUCUAAAUCCUACGUGCGCAGGGGUCUGGGCCCAUCGCCCAUUGCACACCUGCACGUUGCGUAUGCGGCCGGAAGCAGAACUAGCCCCCUUAAUACAAGAGCAGGCUUACGUUCCAAUCCAGCGUGCGCCACUCAGUCGCUGACGUCACGAAGUGCUUCGGCUGAUACCACGACGUCGAGUGCCCAUAACUGUUCCCGCGUAGUUGGUUGGUGCGUAUAGGCCAGUAGCCAGACUUAGAUCAAAUACCAAGAUCUCGUUAAGCGUGUUAAGUAUCUGCGAACGCCGAACAGGGCCAGGCCCACCUGUCUCCUAGGUGGUCCCAACCUGCCCUAUCGCUCCGCCAAAAAGUAACAGUCGGGGGCCGUCGGGAACCCAGGCCCACCUCUACCGGGAUGGAGCCACCUGUCCUUUCAGCCCCCACAUCGGAAUCACUUGCGGGUACUCAACGAGCUGACCCGACUUUAGUCACCAUCUGUAUAGUAUGUAUGUAUGUAUUGUAUAUACCCGUGAUCACCUCCCGAGUGAUCACGACCCAAUAGUAUAGCAAGGCAGACUGACAAGAAUGUAGGGCCAAUGAUGAUAAACUAGCAUCCUAUACUAAGCAUUUAGGACUGCGGGUAAGGUAUCAAUGAUUGUAGCAACAAUGACAGGCUAUGCAACAGAAUAGGAGUAAUCAAAUAGUAACAUGCUACACUACUCUAAUGCAAGCAGUAUAGAGAAGAAUAGGCGAUAUCUGGUGAUGAAAGGGAGGGCUUGCCUGGUUGCUCUGGCAAGUAGGGGUCGUCAACUCCGUAGUCGAACUGGGGUCACCGGCAGUCUCGGGGUCUACCGAAAAGAAGUAACAAAGGGGGAACACAGUAAAUAACAGAGCAAACAAAGCAUCACAAAGCGUAACAAGGCAAUACACGGUGUUUGGUGUGCCCUAACGCGAUAGUAGGUGAUACCGGCAAAAGGGGGAAACAUCCGGGAAAGUAUUCCCGGUGUUUCGCGUUUUUGGACAGAUGAACCGGAGGUAGAAAGUUGCGUGUUUGCUAUGCUAGGGAUGCGUGGCGGAUGAACGGGCUGCGUAUCCGGAUUUGUCUCGUCGUUCUGAGCAACUUUCAUGUACAAAGUUUUUCCCUCCGAGCUACUUUUUAUUUUAUAUUAAUUUUAAAAGAUUUAAUCAUUUUUAGAAUUCAUUUAAUUAUUUUAAAUCAACAUUAUCUAGAAUAGUGCAUGCUGACAUCAGCAUGACGUCAGCAAUCAACAGGUCAGUUGACUUAGUCAAACCGACGUGUGGGGUCCGCAUGUCAUAGGCUGGUUAACUAAGUAACAGAUUAUUUAGAUUAGUUAGCUAAUUAGAUUAUCUAACACUAGUUAAUUAAGUUAAUUAAUUAAUCCUUUUAAUCCUUUUUUUAUUUUUGUUUUGGGGCUAGGCCCGUUCGGUCAGUGGCCUAGGGCCAUUGUGGGCGUGUGGGCGCCAACAGUGCGGUUACGGGCGCACUCGUGCGGGGCCGAGCCCGACCGGUAAGGCGAGGCGAGGCCACCAGGGAGUGGCGGCGUUUGGCCGGCGUGGGCGACAGCCAGCGGGAGCGAUGACCAGCGGGGGUGGACCCGACGGCGGCGAGGUGGGGGCUGCAGGAGCGGGGCGGCACCAAGCGCGGUCAGCGGCAGAGAGGCGGAGGGAGUCGGGACACGAACGACGUCAAGCGGCUCAGGUGCGCCGCGGCCGGAGCGGGCGCGUGGAUGCGGACCGCGGCGAGCGGCCAGCGUGGGGAGGCGGAGCACGACAUGGUGCGUCGAGAAGCAGCCGGCAGUAGCAGUGAGCAGCGGCAGCCUUCAAGCAGACGAGGCGGGCGCGGGCGACUCAUGGGCGUGUGCGGCUGCGGGGAGCCACGGCCAGGGAGGCUGCACGGGGGUGUAGGGGAGCGCCCAAGCGACGGCGGCCAUGGGCGUGGGCAGAGGGCGACGACGGCUUCGGUCACGGCGACGACGACAACUACUGAGCGGAACGAGGGUGCUCGAGUUCGAUCCGAGCUCGGGAAUAAUCGGGGAAGUGGCGUAGCUCACAUUGAGCCUGUAGAUGUGCUUAGUGGGCUCGGGGAAGGCUCGGAGGUGCCGGAAUCGACGGCGAAGCUCGACAGAGACGAGGAGGAAGAAGGCGGUGCGGGGCUCGAUGCGAUGGCUCCCGGCGGGGAGGUGGCGUCCGCGAGGUGGUGGCGGGACGAGGCAACGACGUCGGGGGCUGGCGCGGCGGCGACGGCGGGGUCGGGCCCCCGAGUGCCCCGAUCCAGACUCAGGAGGGGGAAGGAGAGAGACGUGGGGUCGUGGGGGAGAAGUGGGUGCGGUUAGGGUUUGGUGGUGGGCAGGGAAGGCCAUAUAGGCCUGCUUAGCUGGGCCGGCUAGCACAGCGGUCUGCUGGGCCGUGGCCCAGUUGGGCCAAGGGGGGGAUUGCUUCUCUUACUACUUUUCUUUGUUUUGUUUUCUCUUAGUUUGUUUUUCUAUUUUCAUUUUAGUUUCUGAUAUUUUUAGUUUCUUUAAAAUACUAAGUUAGCACCUAAACUAGUAUCAUCAAAAUAGGACAGUGCCAAACCUAGUUUGGACCCAAAAUAAAUUAGUUUAAUAUUUCUAUAUUUUCAAAAGCAAUUAAAUUAUUAUGUUAGCCAUUGGUUUUAAUUAGUUUUAGGGCAUUUAAACACUUUGAAAAAGGUUGGUUCCACCACCAAAACUAGUUAGGGAUUAUUCGCCACAUGAUGAACAUUUUAGUUUUAAUAUUUGAAAACUUUUAUUGUUUGCUUGAUUCUGAAUUUGAAUUAGAAUCGGUUUUAAACUAACGCGAGUUUAUCAACAGUGAUCGUGGUGACGUGGCAUCAUUAGUAGAGAGUUACUGUAGCUUAAUUAUCCGGGCGUCACAGCUAGGGAAUACAUAUGGAAUGGAGGUAGCGAGCCUGUCAAACCAUAGCGUACUUCGCACAUAUGCAUGACUGAUUUGGGAUGAUUCCCGAGGAACAAAAACAAUCUUUCUCGAACUCACGGCGGCAUCUUGCACCAAAUGCACAUGAAUUCGAGGAAGUCACUCCUGCCAUCCAAGCAUAAGCUUCAUGAACGGAACACGAAGGCAUUGCUUAUAAAAUUUUCAACACUAGGUUGAUGUUCAACAUGAAUCAUGGGGGAGACGAAAUGCUGCUGAUGGGGUUCACCAACAACUCAUCGGAAUUUCCAUAUCACUGGACUUCCACCAUCAUGUGAACACGGUGAUAGCAUUGGUCAGACCAAAAGAUGUAAUGGUGUAUGCUCGAGGGAUCAACCACGAGUAAGGCAACAUUACGAACAUCGUUGGUUCUGAUUUGACUUGACGAUGGCCCAUACUCAAGUCAAAGUUUUGACAAGGCAAUAGAUCCAACAACUGAUCACGAGGACCAAUUGAUGGAGAUAUCAUCUUUCUUCAACAACCACACACAAGGAUAUCCCUUGGAGAUGAACUAAGUCAGGUGAGCUUUUAUCUUCCAACUCUCCAAGUUGUUGUUUAGCUUAACCAACUAGCUCAGGGGUAUCCAACACAGAUUCUUGGGGAAAGGGUGGUUCACAAGAAACCAACUCGAUCACGAGCUCAACAUAUCAGUCAGGGAACAACCUGGUAAUACUUCCGAGAAGAUAUCCGGAAAAUCACGAACCACCGAUAUAUUACUAAGCUCGAGAACAAUCUUGCUUUUCAAGCAAGACGAUAUGAUCAAAUAAGCAAGGGACUGAAUAAUCCUAACUCAUUGAUCGAAGAGUACACCAGAAAUAAGGACUAGGUAGCACGAUCAAUAUUAGGAUGAUGAUUCAAUAACCAACAUGCUAAGAAUGAGAAUAUUGUCCAUUUACUACCAAGCAACUAGUUGCUAGGCGUAUUGAUUUCACACAUCACUAUUCACUUGUCGGCAUUCCGGUUGUGACAACACGGGACCGAGGAAUGAAUAAUGAUGGCGAGAAGUAUCACUGCAUCAAGAAUUCAUAAAAGUUGGUACAAUUAUCAUGACAUUCCUGACAUCAAGAGGGCAAUACUUCAGGGUAGAACAGAAUAAAAGCUGGAUUGGCAUUAUGAUCUGCGGGGUAUUACUGAUUUGACCCAAUCCUAGAAAUGGAUAAGGUACUGGAGUUUGUUUCUCCUAGUCAUUCUGGAAUAGAAUGGCUUGACGGACCACAAGAGUAAUAGGCAUCGAUGGACGAAUGCACGCAUUCUCUUGACUAUCAAUUGAUAGAUGAAGGUCAGAAGACAUCUAAGGAGGAACAACUCAUGGAACAUAUAACUUUCUGAGUUGUGGAUGCAUAGAUUAAUAUGUCGAACGGGUUCAACACAUUUCUUCCGGAUAACCCAUGCAGAGAAGGUAGAACUGGAAGAAUCACAAUUAUGAAUGGAGAACUCCUCAAGAGUACUCUGAUUGUGAUCUUUUGGUUCAAAUAACUUCUGCCUUAAUGGUUCAUGGUAUUUGGAAGAAGGAAAUACCACGGACCUCGAGGACUAAUGCAAAGGUUACUAAUAACCUAAAGGAACGAGCAAACACUAUCAACAUGAAGUAAGUAGGGUGAAUCUCGGGUUCAAGAACCCAGGAAUAGAAUACCUACUCCUAAGUAGCAUCACGAGAUGCUUUCGAGAAUGAUGGCUAGAAUCUUCACACUGGGAACACUAAACAUUGCUAGAUUACUAGGUGACUCCCUAAAACACCUAGGGUCAUAAUAAUAGCUCCAACAUAUAUGUCAAGGCAAUAAAUUACCUCAACGCACCAGUUAGUGUGCUUAUUCUGACCAUAAAGGACAUCGGGAACGGAAAGAAAGGAUUUGCAAAUGCAUCAGACUAUUUAAAAACCUGGGAUGACUCGGACAACAUAACGACUGUAAAUGCUUAAAAAGAUUUGAGAUAUCCUGCAGAAAUGGUGGCAUAACCACUCAACAUCACAAAAGCAAGGUUCUGAGACCAGCUAUGAACAUACAGAGGUAGUAAAAGCUGAACUAAGAUUUGAAACUAACAAUUCUAUAAGUCAAUGGAUUAGUAACACGUCAUCCUGAUAGAUAGAUGAGAAGGCCUAGUUCUUAAUCCCCGUAGAAGAGAAGAGGAUGACUCAUAUCAGAAGGCCAUGAGGUAUAAGGAGUAAAAAGAUCCUUACGUUCCAUCCCACAAUCAAUUCCCUUACAUAACUAAAGAAUUUCUAGACCAAUAGUAACUCAUGAGACAUAUCAUCUAAACCAAUAGUAACAACAUCCUUUUUGCAAUCUAUCCUAGCAUUAACAGUGUUUAAGAAUGGUCUACCAAAUAUAAUGGGACAAAAGCUAUCUUGUGGGGAACCAAGAACAAGAAAAUCAGCAGGAUAUUUAGUUUUCCCACACAAGACUUCAACAUCUCUAACAAUUCCCAUUGGUGAAAUAGUAUCUCUAUUCGCAAGUUUAAUUGUGACAUCAAUAUCUUCUAUCUUAGUAGGUGCAAUAUCAUGCAUAAUUUCUUUGUAUAAGUCGUAAGGUAUUGCACUAGCACUAGCACCCAUAUCACAUAAGCCAUGAUAACAAUGAUCUCCUAUUUUAACAGAAAUAAGAGGCAUGCCUACCACAGGUCUGUUUUUAUCUUUUGCAGAGGGUUUAGCAAUUCUAGCAGUCUCAUCAAGGAAAUGAAUAACAUGCCCAUGAAUAUUAUCAAACAAGAGAUCUUUAACAAUAGCAAUAUCAGGUUCAACUUUAAUUUGCUCAGGAGGUGUAUAAGUUUUAAUAUUGCUUUUACGAACCAUAGUUGAAGCUUUAGCAUGAUCCUUUAUCCUAACAGGAAACAGUGGUUUCUCAACAUAAGCGGUAGGAACAAUAGGAUCAUUAUAAGUGACAGUCUUUUAUUCAACUUUAAUUGGUGCAGCUACUUUUACUUCUAUGGGAGGAUGAUAUUUAAACCACUUCUCCCUAGGGAGAUCAACAUGAGUAGCAAAAGAUUCACACAAAGAAGCUACAAUUUCUGAGUCAAGUCCAUAUUUAGUGCUAAAUUUAUGGAAAACAUCGGUAUCCAUAAAAGAUUUGACACAAUCAAACUUAGGUGUCAUACCUGACUCCUUACCUUCGUCGAGGUCCCAAUCUUCAGAGUUGCGUUUAAUUCUUUCCAAUAUAUCCCAUUUGAAUUCAAUAGUCUUCAUCAUAAAAGAACCAGUGCGAGAAGUACCGAGCAUGGUGCGAUUGCUAUCAGAAAGCCGAGCAUAAAAUUUUUGAAUAAUCAUUUCUCUUGAGAGCUCAUGAUUGGGGCAUAUAUAUAACAUUGAUUUAAGCCUCCCCCAAGCUUGAGCGAUGCUUUCUCCUUCGCGAGGCCAAAAAUUAUAUAUAUAAUUGCGAUCACGAUGAACAAGAUGCAUAGGAUAAAACUUCUGAUGAAAUUCCAAUUUCAAUCGUUUGUAGUUCCAUGACCCUGUAUCAUCACAUAGCCUAUACCAUGUCAAUGCAUCUUCCUUAAAAGAUAAAGGGAGGACCUUCAUCUUAACAACAUCUCCGGGUACACCUGCCAGCUUAAAUAAUCCACAAACUUCAUCCACAUAUAUUAGGAGCUCAUCAGGAUGUAAUGUUCCAUCUCCUGCAAAAGGAUUAGCUAGCAGAUUUUCUAUCAUACCCGAAGGAAUUUCAAAGCAGACAUUUUCAUUUUCAGUAGGUUCAGUAGGUUGAGGAGCAACUCUUUGCUCAAAUGGUCAGGGUGAAGAUACCCCGAACAGGCCCCUUAGAGGAUUACUCUCCAUAGUAACAAGUGACAGUAAAUUUCAGCACACUAUAUAAAUUAUUCCUUACCAAAUUCCACCUACCAAAGGCGCUUCACUCCCCGGCAACAGCGCUAGAAAAGAGUCUUGAUGACCCACAAGUAUAGGGGAUCUAUCGUAGUCCUUUCGAUAAGUAACAGUGUCGAACCCAACGAGGAGCAGAAGGAAAUGAUAAGCGGUUUCCAGCAAGGUAUUCUCUGCAAGUACUGAAAUAAGUGGUAACAGAUCGUUUUGUGAUAGGAUAAUUUGUAAUGAGAAACAAGUAACAAAAGUAAAUAAAGUGCAACAAGGUGGCCCAAUCCUUUUUGUAGCAAAGGACAAGCCUGGACAAACUCUUAUAUAGAGAAAAGCGCUCCCGAGGAAACAUGGGAAUAUCGUCAAGCUAGUUUUCAUCACGUUCAUAUGAUUCGCGUUCAGUACUUUGAUAAUUUGGUAUGUGGGUGGACCGGUUCUUGGGUACUGUCCUUACUUGGACAAGCGUCCCACUUAUGAUUAACCUCUAUUGCAAGCAUCCUCAACUACAACAAAAGUAUUGAGGUAAACCUAACCAUAGCAUGAAACAUAUGGGUCCAAAUCAGCCCCUUACGAAGCAACGCAUAAACUAAGGUUUAAGCUUCUGUCACUCUAGCAACCCAUCAUCUACUUAUUACUUCCCAAUGCCUUCCUCUAGGCCCAAAUAAUGGUGAAGUGUUAUGUAGUCGACGUUCACAUAACACCACUACAGAAGAGACAACAUACAUCUCAUCAAAAUAUCGAACGAAUACAAAAUUAACAUUACUACUAAUAGCAAGACUUCUCCCAUGUCCUCGGGAAAAAAAGUAACUACUCACAAAGCAUAUUCAUGUUCACAAUCAGAGGGGUAUUAAUAUGCAUAUAGGAUCUGAACACAUGAUCUUCCACCAAGUAUACCAACUAGCAUCAACUACAAGGAGUAAUUAACACUACUAGCAACCUACAGGUACCAAUCCCAGCCUUAGAGACAAGAAUUGGAUACAAGAGAUGAACUAGGGUUUUGAGAGGAGAUGGUGCUACUGAAGAUGUUGGUGGAGAUUGCCCUCUCCUGAUGAGAGGAGCGUUGGUGAUGACGAUGGCGAUGAUUUCCCCCUCCCAGAGGGAAGUUUCCCCGGCAGAAUAGCUCUGCCGGAGCCCUAGAUUGGAUCCGCCAAGGUUCCGCCUCGUGGCGGCGGAGUUUCGUCUGAGGAGAUGGCUUCUGGCUUUUUUUCUCAUCGAAAGACUCCAUAUAGCAGAAGAUGGCCAUCGGAGGGCCACCAGGGGGCCCACGAGGUAGGGGGCGCACCCAGGGGGGUAGGGCGCGCCCCCACCCUCGUGGGUAGGGUGUGGCCCCCCUGGUGAACUUCUUGCACUCAGUAUUUUUUAUAUAUUCUGAAAACGUCUUCCGUGAAGUUUCAGGACUUUUGAAGCUGUGCAGAAUAGGUCUCUAAUAUUUGCUCCUUUUCCAGCCCAGAAUCCCAGCUGCCGGCAUUCUCCCUCUUUAUGUAAACCUUGUAAAAUAAGAGAGAAUAGGCAUAAGUAUUGUGACAUAAUGUGUAAUAACAGCCCAUAAUGCAAUAAAUAUUGUUAUAAAAGCAUGAUGCAAAAUGGACAUUUCAGUUCGCUAGCAGACAACAAAGGAGAGGCGGACGACAAAGCUUCAAAAUUAACUUAACGGGGCCCUCUCUCUCUAUCUCAUCUCCUCUUUAUUUACUCCCUCUUCCACCCCCGAUAUCGCCUCCACACCCUCCCCGUGCCAUCGCCGCUGCACCAUCCCCGUGUCGUCGCCGUUGCACGCUCCCGCAUCAUCGCCGCCCCCUCCCUGCGUCCCCACCCCCCCUCCCGAGNNNNNNNNNNNNNNNNNNNNNNNNNNNNNNNNNNNNNNNNNNNNNNNNNNNNNNNNNNNNNNNNNNNNNNNNNNNNNNNNNNNNNNNNNNNNNNNNNNNNNNNNNNNNNNNNNNNNNNNNNNNNNNNNNNNNNNNNNNNNNNNNNNNNNNNNNNNNNNNNNNNNNNNNNNNNNNNNNNNNNNNNNNNNNNNNNNNNNNNNNNNNNNNNNNNNNNNNNNNNNNNNNNNNNNNNNNNNNNNNNNNNNNNNNNNNNNNNNNNNNNNNNNNNNNNNNNNNNNNNNNNNNNNNNNNNNNNNNNNNNNNNNNNNNNNNNNNNNNNNNNNNNNNNNNNNNNNNNNNNNNNNNNNNNNNNNNNNNNNNNNNNNNNNNNNNNNNNNNNNNNNNNNNNNNNNNNNNNNNNNNNNNNNNNNNNNNNNNNNNNNNNNNNNNNNNNNNNNNNNNNNNNNNNNNNNNNNNNNNNNNNNNNNNNNNNNNNNNNNNNNNNNNNNNNNNNNNNNNNNNNNNNNNNNNNNNNNNNNNNNNNNNNNNNNNNNNNNNNNNNNNNNNNNNNNNNNNNNNNNNNNNNNNNNNNNNNNNNNNNNNNNNNNNNNNNNNNNNNNNNNNNNNNNNNNNNNNNNNNNNNNNNNNNNNNNNNNNNNNNNNNNNNNNNNNNNNNNNNNNNNNNNNNNNNNNNNNNNNNNNNNNNNNNNNNNNNNNNNNNNNNNNNNNNNNNNNNNNNNNNNNNNNNNNNNNNNNNNNNNNNNNUGAUACCAAAGCUGUCAGGACCCCGACUCAAUGCCACAUCAAUCUAGCAUGUAACACCUCAUAUCACUUUGCGGCCUCACGCAUGGUAUUCCCACGGGUGUCGCCUUACCUUUGCCCGGGACCGUUUGCACCUUUUGGCACACGUAUAUGAUAGUGUCGCUAGCAUCCAUAUGAUAAGGAGCCCGGGCUGAAAUGGCUAGUCGUAAACCCAAAGUGGCACAGACUUACAGGGACAGGCAUCCAUGACCCAGCAUCGAACAUGUCGGUCAUCAGCGAGUGAAUCUAGGCUGUAGCACUGGGCUAGCAGGACUCCGGUGAACCGGGCUGUAGCGGGCUAACAGGACUUCGGUAUUCAUCGCGUGACAUUUCCCUGACGGGACAAACACAUGAACGAAGAAGGACACAUGCCGGCCAGCCUAAGUGUUCCAGAGCAGUAGCAAGCUACCAUGGCUCAGUGGAAGCACUAGGAGACAUUUCCCGGUAAGAAAGGCUAGUAAGGAUAAACAACUAGAUAGUCAGAUCCCACACAUACCAAGCAUUUCAAACAUACACACGAUAUGCUCGAUAUGUGUAAAUACAACAUGGCAUCACAACAUAACUCUACGACUGAAGUAUUUAUUCAAUAGGCUCCGAGGAGCGCGAUAUUACAAGCAUGGGUCUCAUGACCCAAUAUUCAGAGCAUAUAGAUCAAGCACAUGCGGAAGCUUAUCAUGUCUGAGUACAGACAUCUACAAAUGAAAAAGGCUGAAAAGCCUGACUAUCUACCAGAUCCUGCCGAGGGCACAAGAUCGUAGCUGAGGUAACAAGCCAAACGUCGAAGUCCACGCGGAACUACUAACGAGACUGACGUCUCUCUGCAAAAACAUAAAAUAGGUAAAUGUGAGUACAAAUGUACCCAGCAAGACUUACAUCAGAUCUAGGUACAUAUGCAUCAUUAUCAACAAAGGGGAUGGUGGGGUUUAACUGCAGCAAGCCAGCUUUGACUCGGUGGCUAUCCUGAACUACGACUGCAAGUAACUCUUUUGAGGUGGCGCACACGAGUCCACAUAUUCACCAUAUCAAUACACCACCAUGGAUCCGCUCCCGUCUCCCUACGAGAAUGCCAUCCAUAGCACUCACGCUUAUCUUGCGUAUUUUAGAGUAUCCACUUUCACUUGUCUAUGAACUGUUAUAGGCAACCCAGAAGUCCUUUUCUGCGGACACGGCUAUUCGAAUAGAUGAUGUUAACCCUGCAGGGGUGUACUUCUUCAUACAUGUUUCCACCACUUAGUGUCUGCACACGACAUGUGCUCGGCAGACUUCAAGCGAAAGCCGACGUGGGUGUAGACCACGACCUACCUAAACACUCCAGUCUCUAGUCCAGGUUUAUCGCCUAUUCAGGUUCCAUCCGCAGGGAGUCCGGCCGAGGUUUCCACAUACGGCCCCGAACGAUGUGAACAGGGUUCCGAGACACCUAACGGGUGCCCGGUGUACCCGGCCACAUACCUACCGCAUCACAACCCACCCCACGGUCAGCGCUGUCCACGGCCUCCAGUAGGCUACAAACACCAGAAACUACUUGCAACUCCUGGACAGAGGACUAGGGUGAAUAAGAAGUCGAGCGGGGUCAUAUUUCAGGGCCCAAUGUAUGGUAGUAGCUGAAUCAUGGAUCACAAACACAUAACUCAGUUCCUAAGGACGGCUUCAAUGAGACAACCCACCAUGUACUCUACAUGGCCUCUCACCGAUACCUUUACCAAAUCGUGUUCACACACUUAGCUCACACACAGUAGGACAUGUUCACACACCUCUGAUUCAUCCCCGAUGAAUCAGACCUGACUCAGCUCUAAGCAAUAGCAGGCAUGACAAACAAGCAUGAAUGAGUAGGCACAUUAGGGCUCAAGCAACUCCUACUCAUGCUAGUGGGUUUCAUCUAUUUACUGUGGCAAUGAUAGGUCAUGCAGAGGAUAAAGGGGUUCAAGUACCACAACAAGUAACAGAUGAAUCGUUGUUGUCCUAAUGCAGUAAAAGAGAGCAGGAGCGAGAGAGUGGGAUUGUAUCGAAAUGAACAAGGGGUUUUGCUUGCCUGGCACUUCUGAAGAUAAUAUAGUUCUUCAUCGGUGUCAUCGAACUCGUCGUCGGAACCACGUCUAUCGAGAGGGGACAAACACUGGCAACUGAGGAAGAACACAAUCAAUGCAAUGCCACAAUAUGAUGCAUGAUCAUGACAUGGCAAUAUGCUGUGAUUUGAGCUAAUGCACCUAGCUAUGAUUUAAAUGAAGUUGGUUUGAAUACAUGAUUCAAAUUCCAACUCCAUAUAUGAUUAUUUAAAUUUCCUUUAUUUGUUUUGUCCAAAACAGAGGACAAACAUUGUUCAAACAUGCAUGAAAAUGGUACAGAUGUAUUCCUUGAAUUUUUCUGAUAAUUUUUCAUAUAUAAUUUGUUUGAUUUGGAGUCACGGUUGAAUUUCUAUGAAUUUUAGAAGUUUAGAUCAUUUUCUGAAAUUUAUAAAUCGUUUCUGAUUUAUUUUAAUACCAGAAAAUGUUUACUGCAUCAGCAUUAGGUCAUGCUGAUCUCAGCAGGUCAACAGCGCCGGGUCUAGGUCAAACCUGACGUGUGGGGUCCACACGUUAGUGACUAACUAAUCUAAUCUAAAUUAAUUAGUGUUAAACUACUACUAACUAAAAAUGUCAGUGGAGUAAUUAAACUUAAUUAAAAACUAAUCUAGGAUUAGCUGGGGCCUGGGCCCACUCGUCAGUGACUCAGGGGAAGUCAAACUGGGGUCAAACCGGGUCAAACUCGCCGGAGUUGACCCGGGGCUCGUCGCCGGCAGGGCCAGGGACGGCGGAGAGGUGCGGGUUUCCUCCUCCGGCGACCAAAUCGACGGCGGAGGGCGGCUACGUGGAGCUGGAGCUCGCGCGCAUCGGGUGGUAGCGGUGGGAGAUGCUGGGGUGCCCGGAAACAUUGCCGGCGACGACCUUGGCGGUCGCCGGAGUUCGGGCGAGGUCGAAGUCGUCGCUAUGAGGCACGGCGAGGCGCGUGGGGAGGUGCUACGGGUUUCUGCGAGUACGGUGAAGACGAUGGCGUGCUCGGAAUCAAGCCAACGUGGCUGUGGCCACGACGGCGACGUGCGGUGGCGGCGGCGGGUGCGGCCGAGCUCGGUGUGGUCGUUGUGGUGCACAAGAAGGCAAACGGAGAGGGGGAGAAGGGGCAGGAGCUCACAGCGGAUCCGUAGGGAUGGUUAGCAGGCUCGGGGAUGCUCGGGAGACGGCGAAUUGACGACGACGAUCUUCCGUGGCCGACGAAGGAAACGGCGGCGGUGGCGGUGUUGCGGCGCGUCCGGGGCCUCGUGGCUCGCCGAGGGGUCGAGGACGUCGAGACAGAGCUUCUAGGCGCGUCGGUGAGGCGUGCGGUGGCCGGUGGCCGUGGCAGCAGCGAGCGGCGGCGAUGAGCGCGCUCGGGCGCAAUAGGGUGAGAGAGCAGAGAGGGGAGAGGCACGGGAGAGAGUGAGAGGGGGUCGAGGGUGAUGCGUGGCGUCACCAGGGACGGCCAGGGCGUCGAGGAGGGGGGGGGGCAGCAAGCAGGAGGUGGCCGGGGCGCGUGGGCGCGCGCGUCGGCCACACACGCGUCCUCCUGUCAGAGGAGGAAGAUGACAUGGAAGGAGGCGGUGGUGGGCUGGGCCAGUUGGCUGGGCUGCCAGCUGGGCCGGCCAGGUGGGCUGCAUAGAAGGUAGGUCCAGGUAAGUCUCUCUCUCUCUUUUAUUUAUUGUUUUUGUUUUUUCUAUUAUUCUGUAGUCUUCAGGGCUUUAUUUAAAAUACUUAAACAGAUCCAAAAAUCAUGAAACUAAUCAUGGCUACUGUUUAGAAUAUAUCCAACAGUAAACAUUUUAGUUUAUGAUUAUUUGAGCAUUUAAAAUAUUUUAUAGUAUUUAAAUGCCCAAAUGAAAAUACCAUAUGAUUUAAUUCAGAGCCCAAAUAUGUCAUGGAAAAAUGUGCAACACCUCUGGUUAUUGUUUCCAGCAUUUCCAGAAAUGAUGAACACUUUUAAAAGCCAUUUGGAUUCACUGAAAUUAUUUUAGUUGAACCUAGUGAAUUCCUUUGAUGUUAGGGUUUAGGCAAUCCCUAUUUCAAGUUUCAAAUGAAUUUAAACAUGAUGCAACACAUGACUAGCUAGCUCAGUGCAUACCAGAACUAGGGAUGUGACAUACAUGAGCUGCUCGAGCAUACAAAACAGAAUUUCAUUUAAAGGUUUGGAGUUUGGCACAUACAAAUUUACUUGGAACGGUAGGUAAAUACUGCAUAUAGGAAGGUAUGGUGGACUCAUAUGGAAUAACUUUGAGGUUUAUGGAGUUUGGAUGCACAAGUAGUAUUCCCGCUUAGUACAGAUGAAGGCUAGAAAGAGACUGGGAAGCGACCAACUGAGAGAGCGACAACAGUCAUAAACAUGCAUUAAAAUUAAUCAACACCGAGUGCAAGCAUGAGUAGGAUAUAAUCCACCAUGAACAUAAAUAUCAUGAAGGCUAUGUUGAUUUUUUUUCAACUAUAUACGUGAACAUGUGCCAAGUCAAGCCACUCGAAUCAUUCAAAGGAGGAUACCACCCUAUCAUACCACAUCACAACUAUUUUAAUAGCAUGUUGGCACACAAGGUAAACCAUUAUAAGCUCCUAGCUAAUUAAGCAUGGCAUAAGCAACUACAAUCUCUAAUUGUCAUUGCAAACAUGUUUAUUCAUAAUAGGCUGAAUCAGGAACGAUGAACUAAUCAUAUUUACAAAAACAAGAGAGGUCGGGUUCAUACCAGCUUCUCUCAUCUCAAUCAGUCAAUCAUAUAUCGUCAUUAUUGCCUUUCACUUGCACGACCGAACGGUGUGUGGAUAAUAAUAAUAGUGCACAUGCAUUGGACUAAGCUAGAAUCCGCAAGCAUUAAAUUCAAGGGAGAAGACAAGGUAAUAUGGGCUCUUGGUUAAAUCAUCAAUCAUGCAUAGUGGAGCCGCUAAACAUUUUCAUUAUGGUCUUCUCCUCUUGACCCCCAAAGGAAAGAAAAG